This is a long non-coding RNA of Gadus morhua (Atlantic cod), 534 nucleotides long. RefSeq lists it as uncharacterized. The transcript has 4 exons. NCBI's taxonomy places the organism in Eukaryota, Metazoa, Chordata, Actinopteri, Gadiformes, Gadidae. The record is from RefSeq and is a predicted model, not a curated record.
AAAGUCAUGGAUGCACCCUUUGACUUCACUGUUACUGAUAUGCCAUCGUUGAGAAAAUGGUGGUAUAUCAUGCUGAUUGAAAAUCUUGGCCUUGGAAGCCAUGGCAAACUCUUUGCCCACUGGACUGACACAUCUAAGGCUCUUCUUCGGGGUGAGGUGCCACCAGUUUUUAAACUGAAGAAGAGAAGGCGAGAUGACAUUCAUGAGGGGCCACUUGACAACAUUGUGGCUGGAGUUGCCUGGCUGCGUCAGAAUGCAGGUUUGCUCAGGGGGAAGGUGGUUGAGCCCACAUUUCCGAAUAUGGACGCAAAAGAACAGCAGGAGCUCCUGGAAAGGAUACGUUCUUCAACUGAUGAAGAAGAAAAGUAUCCCUUGCUCUUCACAUUUGAUUUUCAGGAAGACAUGGAGGUCUUCCUUAACAUGGCAGCUGAGGAGGAUCUUCGGGUCAACGCCAUGUUUCUGGGUCGCUGGGUGGACAGCCAGUGACAUUGCUGUGUGUGUGUGUGUGUGUGUGUGUGUGUGUGUGUGUGUGUG